GCCUCGUACUGUGCGGAGGUUUGUUACUUCAGCUACCUAAGUUUUUAUCUUUUUUAUCAAGUGUUUUUUCUUCAAUUCAGUGUUUAAUUUAAUUGUUUUUUUAAAAAGAAAUUCGUAGUGAAAAAAGACGUAACAAUAGAAAAUAAGCGAAAUUGGCAAUUUUUGUCAAGAGGUUCCAUGAAUAAUCAAGAUCAAGAAAGAAAUUUUUUACGAUUCAUCCAGGAAUCGUGCAAUAAUCGGCGUCUAGGAACAUUCACGGACUUCCUUAAAGAAUAAGGACUAUGGACAAUAUGCUGAUCACAAAACUUCGCAGCAUCUUUCCCUCAGUCUAUAUGGAAUCAACAAAAAUUGGUGCUUCUUCUUCCGAAGUGAAUCAUCAGGUUUUUAAGGAUUUCUUCGUCACUACAAUGAUCACUGGUAUAAGAUUCUAUCCUCGAUGGCAAAAGUAAAAAAGGGUAUCUUAUCUUGAAGUACAGAUGAAUCUUCAUGUUAAUAUAUACAAAUACAGAAGAAAUCAAGAAGAAAAUGAUCACUGUUUUUUCAAAGUAACCAGUAGUCGAUUUCGAGUGAGCGCACUAUUCCUAUUUUUCUUCGACGACAACUAUCUUGAAGCAUCAAAAGCAAUUCCUGUCUUUUCUCUCUCUCUCUCUCUCUCUCUCUCUCUCUCUUUUUUCGAGAGAGGAACACACGAUUCCAGACAAGAGUAAACGAGUUGGUGGGAGAGAGGGAUUGAUGCUGUUCACUGUGAGGCUUAUUGUGAUCUACUAUAUGUACGUGCGGGAGUCAAAAGGCAGCUUGGUGACAUAUGUCAUUAUGUCAAAAGCGUGUUUUUUUUAGUUUUACAUUAUACGGGAGUGUUCGAACCUAGUGAAAGUGACGGUCGCUUAUUAUAUAUAUAAUGUAAAAUAUUUUUUUUUAUUAUUCUCGUUAUACAGCGUAUACGGAUACCGCUGUACGUGUCGCGACGGAUUUAAAAUCUAUUAGCUUCGGGAGUGUUCGACAUUUUUAUAAUCGCGAACGAAAUUUUCUUAGGGUGUGUUUCAAAAUUCGUUUUCGUUGUUUGUCUUUCGUUAUAUAUAUAUAUACAAGACAACUCGUUACGUGCGCGCGUCCGAAUUACAAUUUAAAUCGCGAUCGUAUUUUUGCGCGAAUAUUAAAAGUUUAUUUUAAA
Leptopilina boulardi is the source of this 1171-nucleotide long non-coding RNA. RefSeq lists it as uncharacterized. The transcript is spliced from 9 exons. Lineage: Eukaryota; Metazoa; Arthropoda; Insecta; Hymenoptera; Figitidae. The record is from RefSeq and is a predicted model, not a curated record.